UGGGGAAUCUUGGGCAAUGGCCGAAAGGCUGACCCAGCAACGCCGCGUGGAGGAAGAAGGCCUUCGGGUCGUAAACUCCUGUCGAAGGGGAAGAAAACAAUGACGGUACCCUUCGAGGAAGCCCCGGCUAACUCCGUGCCAGCAGCCGCGGUAAUACGGGGGGGGCCAGCGUUGUUCGGAAUUACUGGGCGUAAAGGGCGCGUAGGCGGAUGCGGGCGUCUCAAGUGAAAGCCCCCGGCUCAACCGGGGAAGUGCUUGGGAAACGCCGGAUCUGGAGUGCUGGAGAGGACAGCGGAAUUCCCGGUGUAGCGGUGAAAUGCGUAGAGAUCGGGAGGAACAUCUGCGGCGAAGGCGGCUGUCUGGACAGACACUGACGCUGAGGCGCGAAAGCUAGGGGAGCAAACGGG
This 407-nucleotide ribosomal RNA is filed under the name uncultured bacterium. RNAcentral's name for it is "bacterial SSU rRNA". It matches the Rfam family "Bacterial small subunit ribosomal RNA", at positions 355 to 776 of the family's 1533-position model. The record is from RNAcentral.